GUGGCGUGGUCGAGCAGUAUACCGGAUCCAAUCCUCGCGGCGGGGUGGAUGUCGACGGCGAAAACGUCGGCGAUGCGGGACUGGAGCGCGAGGGCGAGGGGGCGGCGGGACUGAGUCCAGAGGGCGUGGGAGAUGCGGUGGGUCUGGACGGCGAGGUAGCCCUUGUAGUUGAGGAGGCAGUGGGAGAAGGAGGCGCAGGCGGGGUCGCGGUGGCGGGCGGCGAUGAGAUCGGCAGCGGCGGCGGCGCGGAGGGA
This 254-nucleotide unclassified non-coding RNA is filed under the name Hevea brasiliensis (rubber tree). The record is from RNAcentral. Lineage: Eukaryota; Viridiplantae; Streptophyta; Magnoliopsida; Malpighiales; Euphorbiaceae.